This 73-nucleotide transfer RNA is filed under the name Oscillospiraceae bacterium. Its description in RNAcentral is "tRNA-Asn". Lineage: Bacteria; Bacillati; Bacillota; Clostridia; Eubacteriales; Oscillospiraceae. The record is from RNAcentral.
ACCAGCCACUUGGCAGAGCAUGCGGCUGUUAACCGCANNAGGGUCGUUGGUUCGAGUCCAACAGGGGGAGCCA